Molecule: unclassified non-coding RNA, 1414 nt
Filed under: uncultured Neocallimastigales
Lineage: Eukaryota; Fungi; Neocallimastigomycota; Neocallimastigomycetes; Neocallimastigales
Description: partial contains small subunit ribosomal RNA, internal transcribed spacer 1, 5.8S ribosomal RNA, internal transcribed spacer 2, and large subunit ribosomal RNA
Rfam family: Eukaryotic large subunit ribosomal RNA (bases 642-1414)
Source: RNAcentral
UUUCCGUAGGUGAACCUGCGGAAGGAUCAUUAAUAAAUUUCCAAUGAUAUUUAAGUUGGAAAACAAUAAUCAUCCUACCCUUUGUGAAUUUGUUUGUUUGAAUAAUUUUUUUUUGAAAAAUUAUUUCUGUCUUUCCCUGAAUGUGAAAGUUUUGUAAAAGAAACUUUUACUUCAGGGGAUAGUAAUAAUUUUUUAAAAAGACCUUUUUUUAAAUUAAACUUUUUGUAUUCAUUUGUCUAAAAUUAUUUUUAUAAUUUAAAAACAACUUUUGACAAUGGAUCUCUUGGUUCUCGCAACGAUGAAGAACGCAGCAAAAUGCGAUAAGUAGUGUGAAUUGCAGAAUACGUGAAUCACGAAUCUUCGAACGCAUAUUGCACUUUUUUAGUUUACUAAAAAAGUAUGUCUGUUUGAGUAUCAGUAAAAUAUUCUCAUAAAAACUUUUUGUUUUAUGGUUAUGAGUGUUUUACAACGAUACAAGUUGUUUCACUUUAAAUUCUUUGUCUUUUAAAAAAUCAUUAAAAACUGAUUUUUUUUAAAAAUUGGAUAAAAUUUUCCCGUAAAAAGGAAUAACCUAAACAAUUUUAAAUUAAAUUGGUUUGAUUUCUUUUAAGACUUUAAAGGAAAAAAAGUAAAAAUUAACUUGAUCUCAAAUCAGAUAAGAGUACCGCUGAACUUAAGCAUAUCAAUAAGCGGAGGAAAAGAAACUAACAAGGAUUCCUUAGUAACGGCGAGUGAAGCGGGAAGAGCUCAAAUUUGAAAUCUUCAAGGUUUUACCUUGACGAAUUGUAGUUUAAAGAAGUGUUUUCUGUUGGAGUUUUGGUAAAAGUUCUUUGGAAUAGGACAUCAUAGAGGGUGAGAAUCCCGUAUUUGACCAUUAUUUCCACUUUGUGAUACACUUUCAAAGAGUCGGAUUGUUUGGGAAUGCAGUCCAAAAAUGGGUGGUAAAUUUCAUCUAAAGCUAAAUACUGGCGAGAGACCGAUAGCGAACAAGUACCGUGAGGGAAAGAUGAAAAGAACUUUGAAAAGAGAGUUAAACAGUACGUGAAAUUGUCAAAAGGGAAGCGUUUGACACCAGUGUUGUUUUCUCGAAAAUCAAUUAAAAAGAUUGGAUUUUGUGUUGUAUUGACUUUAUCAGCUUUCUGCACUUUUUUCUUGUCUUUUUUAAUGCACUUUUCGUUUAACAAGUCAACAUCAAUUUCUUUUGUUGUAAAAGAGUCAUUGGAAGGUGGCUUUCUUUUCGGAGAAAGUGUUUAUAGCCUUGUACCUCUGCAAUCGGAGAGAUUGAGGUCUGCAGCGUAGAUCCUUCGGGUUAGAUACAUUCGUGCUAAGUUAUAGCCUUUCAUAGACACUUGUUGACUAUGAUCAGUCUUGUAGCUUACUCGCUUAUGCUAUUUUACCUACGCUUAGGAUGUUG